AGAUUUGCAUGAUCGGCUGUAUCUUUAUAAUCCAAUAUUAAAGAGAGAAAGAUUCUCAAUCUGGAGAGAAAUGCAAAAAGGUCCAAAUAUUAAGUUUUCCCAUGCUUUCCAUGUUUUGAUGACGUUGAUUUUAUAUGACAUUAAAAAGAUUAGGAAUAUUUUUUUAAAGUUAAUUUAUGGUUUGUUUAUUGGUUUAGAUUUAUGGCCAACCACAACACCAAGGCCAACCUUGAAACCUACUGAUCUCUCAGACAUCUAUUGUGGCAAUGAUCCUACAUUAUGUCCGUUUGGGUAUGUGUGUAGAUUUACAGGGUACUGUAUGUAUAUAUGGGAUAAAUAAGGAAGAACACAUACAGUUGCUUACAAAGUGGAGGAAAAGCGAUUUUGAUUUGUUAAAAACAACCUUGUAGUUAGCCAUUCAAUGAAAAUAAUUACUUAAUUUGA
Molecule: long non-coding RNA, 444 nt
Organism: Saccostrea cuccullata (small rock oyster)
Lineage: Eukaryota; Metazoa; Mollusca; Bivalvia; Ostreida; Ostreidae
Exons: 3
Source: RefSeq, a predicted model, not a curated record